RNAcentral lists this ribosomal RNA (1383 nucleotides) under uncultured bacterium. RNAcentral describes it as "bacterial SSU rRNA". It matches the Rfam family "Bacterial small subunit ribosomal RNA", at positions 18 to 1394 of the family's 1533-position model. The record is from RNAcentral.
CCUGGCUCAUGUAUGAACGCUAGCUACAGGCUUAACACAUGCAAGUCGAGGGGCAGCAUGGUCUUAGCUUGCUAAGGCCGAUGGCGACCGGCGCACGGGUGAGUAACACGUAUCCAACCUGCCGUCUACUCUUGGACAGCCUUCUGAAAGGAAGAUUAAUACAAGAUGGCAUCAUGAGUCCGCAUGUUCACAUGAUUAAAGGUAUUCCGGUAGACGAUGGGGAUGCGUUCCAUUAGAUAGUAGGCGGGGUAACGGCCCACCUAGUCUUCGAUGGAUAGGGGUUCUGAGAGGAAGGUCCCCCACAUUGGAACUGAGACACGGUCCAAACUCCUACGGGAGGCAGCAGUGAGGAAUAUUGGUCAAUGGGCGAGAGCCUGAACCAGCCAAGUAGCGUGAAGGAUGACUGCCCUAUGGGUUGUAAACUUCUUUUAUAAAGGAAUAAAGUCGGGUAUGGAUACCCGUUUGCAUGUACUUUAUGAAUAAGGAUCGGCUAACUCCGUGCCAGCAGCCGCGGUAAUACGGAGGAUCCGAGCGUUAUCCGGAUUUAUUGGGUUUAAAGGGAGCGUAGAUGGAUGUUUAAGUCAGUUGUGAAAGUUUGCGGCUCAACCGUAAAAAUUGCAGUUGAUACUGGAUAUCUUGAGUGCAGUUGAGGCAGGCGGAAUUCGUGGUGUAGCGGUGAAAUGCUUAGAUAUCACGAAGAACUCCGAUUGCGAAGGCAGCCUGCUAAGCUGCAACUGACAUUGAGGCUCGAAAGUGUGGGUAUCAAACAGGAUUAGAUACCCUGGUAGUCCACACGGUAAACGAUGAAUACUCGCUGUUUGCGAUAUACUGCAAGCGGCCAAGCGAAAGCGUUAAGUAUUCCACCUGGGGAGUACGCCGGCAACGGUGAAACUCAAAGGAAUUGACGGGGGCCCGCACAAGCGGAGGAACAUGUGGUUUAAUUCGAUGAUACGCGAGGAACCUUACCCGGGCUUAAAUUGCAGAUGAAUUACGGUGAAAGCCGUAAGCCGCAAGGCAUCUGUGAAGGUGCUGCAUGGUUGUCGUCAGCUCGUGCCGUGAGGUGUCGGCUUAAGUGCCAUAACGAGCGCAACCCUUGUUGUCAGUUACUAACAGGUUCCGCUGAGGACUCUGACAAGACUGCCAUCGUAAGAUGUGAGGAAGGUGGGGAUGACGUCAAAUCAGCACGGCCCUUACGUCCGGGGCUACACACGUGUUACAAUGGGGGGUACAGAGGGCCGCUACCACGCGAGUGGAUGCCAAUCCCCAAAACCUCUCUCAGUUCGGACUGGAGUCUGCAACCCGACUCCACGAAGCUGGAUUCGCUAGUAAUCGCGCAUCAGCCACGGCGCGGUGAAUACGUUCCCGGGCCUUGUACACACCGCC